Molecule: unclassified non-coding RNA, 610 nt
Filed under: Neoroussoella sp. IHEM 28152
Lineage: Eukaryota; Fungi; Ascomycota; Dothideomycetes; Pleosporales; Thyridariaceae
Description: sequence contains 18S rRNA gene, ITS1, 5.8S rRNA gene, ITS2, 28S rRNA gene
Rfam family: 5.8S ribosomal RNA (bases 234-387)
Source: RNAcentral
AGUCGUAACAAGGUUUCCGUAGGUGAACCUUCGGAAGGAUCAUUACCAUAACGCGGUCGCCCCGUGAUCCCCCCUUCUCCAAUUGCUGGGGGGUUAGGGCGGCCACACGCGUUCUUACCACCCUUGAUUUUGAGCACCUUCAUGUUUCCUCGGCAGGGACGCCUGCCAGCGAGGACCCCCAAAAAACCUUUUGCAGUUUGCAGUAUUUGUCUGAAAACAAACAUAAUAAUCAAAACUUUCAACAAUGGAUCUCUUGGUUCUGGCAUCGAUGAAGAACGCAGCGAAAUGCGAUAAGUAGUGUGAAUUGCAGAAUUCAGUGAAUCAUCGAAUCUUUGAACGCACAUUGCGCCCUAUAGUAUUCUGUAGGGCAUGCCUGUUCGAGCGUCAUUUAACCCCUCAAGCCCAGCUUGGUAUUGGGUGCUUGUCCCGCCUCUCGCGCGGCGACUCACCUCAAAGUCAUUGGCAGCCCGCAAUCGCCGGCCGUGAGCGCAGCACAAACGCGCUUGUGGACCCCGGCGGCUCGGCUCUCCAAAAGCUUAUUUCAACCACAAUUGACCUCGGAUCAGGUAGGGAUACCCGCUGAACUUAAGCAUAUCAAUAAGCGGAGGAA